UGGUCAUCCUGCUCACAGCAGAGAUAGCAUCUUUUGGUACACCUGCAAACAGCCCUUCCAAAAGCACAGCAGAUCUGUGAAGGGCUGAAAUAUCAUCCAGGCCUCUAUGAAGCCAAUCAGCACAAUGCUUAUUAGGCACAAAAGAGAAGAUGUGAUCUAUUUUUAAUUAAGCCAUCUUUGAACAAUGCAACAUAAAGAACCUGGCUUUUGAAUUGCAAGGCAAUCAGUGAAUGGAUGUUCCGGCCUCUUCUGGGGAAUUAAGUUAUGCAUACUGCAUGAAAAUAGGACCACAGGCUGGGCCCCUACAAGCUGCUAAUUGAAAACCUUGUCAGAAGUAGGAGGAAGUGGCAAGAAACUUGGCAGGCCCUCCUGCUUUUCAUGCUGUACUUAGCUCUUGGUACUUAUGAAUGGCAGCUCUGCAGCACUUUGCAGAGGUUUACAAGUUGUGCCAGUGCUGUCUCUGCAAUUAUAGAACAACACCUUCUUCCCUGUGAGCUGAAAAAGAGAAAAGAGCAUUUAUAUUCAGAAAGCCACAUCCUGUGUUUUUCAUCCAGAUACCUAGAGGAAGACUACCUGGCAUGUGCUUUCCAAAACUCCUUGCAAGAGGAAGUAAAGCAAAGCUAUGCUCCAGAUGCUGCAUUACUAGGAAUCCAUAUGGGAGAAACCCUAACACAAAAACAGCCACCUGCAUACCUGGACCCUCAUCUGACUACAACUGGGAAAGAGCUUUGGGGUAAAUCAGAAUCUGACCUGUAUUGUAAAAACAGUGGCAUUACAUCCACUGCUGUGCCCUGGGAUGCUUCCUGGGGUUCAGCCUCAUUGUGAGGAGGAUAAUGUGUGAAAGAAUGGGAAUGAUUUUAGCUACUUGCAGGAAGUCCAGUCCCACUGUGACACCAGAUUGCACCAUGAACUAUCAGCAUAUGAAGCCCUGCAACGUGAGCAAACAGCUGGGUACAUCAUUUUCUGGAGUGGAAAGGCCAGUGUUGAACAAAAUAGACUCUCAGGACUUAAGGAUCCCAGACCUGUAGAAGGCAGACACAGAAGGAGGGAAAAUUCAGGAGCAGUAAAUUUGUGUUCCAAAUAAAACUUCCCUGCUUGUGCCCACAAAACAAUAUCUGAAUAUUUUUUUCAUUUGAGGCACUCAAGAAUGUGAUUCUGAAGUAAUUUACCAGAGAAUUAUGUCAUUUUAUGGGAAUUCUCAUCAGUACAUAUUUACUGUGAGAAUACAUUCACUAAAGGGCAGAAACACACUGUCAUCAAAGGGAUACAGUAAAGGUAGGCAGCUAUUCCCAGAGCAGACUCUGUGGUAGGGUGUGAAUCACUAAAGUGAGUGACAAACUUCCCACUGGUUUCAAAAAGGAUCAGACAUCACCUCUAAUUCUUUACUCUUCUGCCUCUUUUUUUGUUACUU
This is a non-coding RNA of Cyanistes caeruleus (blue tit), 1411 nucleotides long. Lineage: Eukaryota; Metazoa; Chordata; Aves; Passeriformes; Paridae. The record is from RefSeq and is a predicted model, not a curated record.